Long non-coding RNA from Anopheles coluzzii, 935 nucleotides. RefSeq lists it as uncharacterized. NCBI's taxonomy places the organism in Eukaryota, Metazoa, Arthropoda, Insecta, Diptera, Culicidae. The transcript has 5 exons. The record is from RefSeq and is a predicted model, not a curated record.
CUGUAGAAAAAUGAAUAAAAAAUGACAGAAGGGGAUUCGAUCACUUUGUCAAUGUAUGUGUGAGCAUCACUUCUGCUUUGUUGACGACAGGAAUGGCUUCAAAAUUAAAUCAACGAUAAACUCUAAAUAAAAAGCAGUUUUACGAUAGAAAAAUUGAUUGUUCGUGAAUCGACACAACAAAAGUGUUCAUUGCUAACGCGCACCGGCACUCGGCAACUGGCCGCGAUAUUACAUAUAGCACGGUAAAAUAAGGUGUUAUAUUCUGAAUAGGCUUGUGACAAGAGCUUCUAUAUAGUCAAAGUUGACAACAAGAGUGUUUUUAGUAUCUACGAUAUUCUUGUGUGGAACCAAUAUGACUGGCCGAUCAUGUUCAGCUGCAUUUUGCAAAAAUAAUCGAGCUAAUGUAAAAAAACGGGGAGUUUACGUUACGUUUCAUAAAUUUCCACGUAUCCCUGAUGUGCAGAAGGAAUGGGUGAGAUUUUGUCAAAGAGGAGAAAACUGGGAACCCAAAAACUACAGUGCUUUGUGCUCCGAUCACUUCAGAAAUGAAGAUUUUCAAUUACAAAAUGCACCAAUAGCCAACAACUCCGGUACAUUUCGGCAGCUUAAUCCAAAAGCAAUACCAACAAUAGAAAAAAACAGCAACAUUUUAAGUACUGCCGCAAAACAAAAUCAAACAAUAGACUUCAUUACGCAUAGGGCUGAAGUAUUGUACGAAGGACAAGUACUACCAUGCGAACUAUUACAGGAGGAAAUAUGUGAACCGGAUCUGCAUGUUUCCGGCGAGCAGCUUGCAUCGAAUUUAGAACUAGAACGGCUAAGAAACGAAAAUGAAAAUUUAAAAAAUGUAAAUAGUAAUUUAAGAAAUAAGUUGAACGAGCUGAACAACCAAAAUAAUCAAUGUAGGGCAGAAAUCGCAGCUUUAAAAGCGGAAA